AAAGGAAUUGACGGGGGCCCGCACAAGCGGAGGAACAUGUGGUUUAAUUCGAUGAUACGCGAGGAACCUUACCCGGGCUUAAAUGUAGGUUGCAUGGAGCAGAGAUGUUCCUUUCUUUCACGAGACCACCUACAAGGUGCUGCAUGGUUGUCGUCAGCUCGUGCCGUGAGGUGUCGGGUUAAGUCCCAUAACGAGCGCAACCCUUGUCGUUAGUUGCCAUCGGGUAGAGCCGGGCACUCUAGCGAGACUGCCGCCGCAAGGCGCGAGGAAGGCGAGGAUGACGUCAAAUCAGCACGGCCCUUACGUCCGGGGCUACACACGUGUUACAAUGGUAGGUACAGAGGGCAGCUACACCGCGAGGUGAUGCGAAUCUCGAAAGCCUAUCACAGUUCGGAUUGGAGUCUGCAACCCGACUCCAUGAAGCUGGAUUCGCUAGUAAUCGCAUAUCAGCCAUGAUGCGGUGAAUACGUUCCCGGGCCUUGUACACACCGCCCGU
This 496-nucleotide ribosomal RNA is filed under the name uncultured bacterium. RNAcentral describes it as "bacterial SSU rRNA". It matches the Rfam family "Bacterial small subunit ribosomal RNA", at positions 903 to 1397 of the family's 1533-position model. The record is from RNAcentral.